Molecule: ribosomal RNA, 497 nt
Filed under: uncultured bacterium
Lineage: Bacteria
Description: partial 16S ribosomal RNA
Rfam family: Bacterial small subunit ribosomal RNA
Source: RNAcentral
GAUGAACGCUGGCGGCGUGCCUAAUACAUGCAAGUCGAGCGAACAGACGAGGAGCUUGCUCCUCUGACGUUAGCGGCGGACGGGUGAGUAACACGUGGAUAACCUACCUAUAAGACUGGGAUAACUUCGGGAAACCGGAGCUAAUACCGGAUAAUAUAUUGAACCGCAUGGUUCAAUAGUGAAAGACGGUUUUGCUGUCACUUAUAGAUGGAUCCGCGCCGCAUUAGCUAGUUGGUAAGGUAACGGCUUACCAAGGCGACGAUGCGUAGCCGACCUGAGAGGGUGAUCGGCCGCACUGGAACUGAGACACGGUCCAGACUCCUACGGGAGGCAGCAGUAGGGAAUCUUCCGCAGUGGGCGAAAGCCUGACGGAGCAACGCCGCGUGAGUGAUGAAGGUCUUCGGAUCGUAAAACUCUGUUAUUAGGGAAGAACAAAUGUGUAAGUAACUAUGCACGUCUUGACGGUACCUAAUCAGAAAGCCACGGCUAACUACGUG